UGGGGAAUAUUGGACAAUGGGGGCAACCCUGAUCCAGCAAUGCCGCGUGUGUGAAGAAGGCCUGCGGGUUGUAAAGCACUUUGAUUGGGGAGGAAAGGCGGUUGUUAAAUAGGCAACCGAUAUGACGUUACCCAAAGAACAAGCACCGGCUAACUCUGUGCCAGCAGCCGCGGUAAUACAGAGGGUGCGAGCGUUAAUCGGAAUUACUGGGCGUAAAGGGCGCGUAGGCGGUUAUAUAAGUUGUGUGUGAAAUACCUGGGCUUAACCUGGGAACUGCAUAUGAGACUGUAUGGCUAGAGUAGAGUAGAGGGAAGUGGAAUUUCCGGUGUAGCGGUGAAAUGCGUAGAUAUCGGAAGGAACACCAGUGGCGAAGGCGGCUUCCUGGACUCAUACUGACGCUGAGGCGCGAAAGCGUGGGGAGCAAACAGGAUUAGAUACCCCCGUAGUCC
RNAcentral lists this ribosomal RNA (449 nucleotides) under uncultured bacterium. RNAcentral's name for it is "bacterial SSU rRNA". It matches the Rfam family "Bacterial small subunit ribosomal RNA", at positions 355 to 796 of the family's 1533-position model. The record is from RNAcentral.